GACGAACGCUGGCGGCGUGCUUAACACAUGCAAGUCGAACGGAAAGGCCCUGCUUGCAGGGUACUCGAGUGGCGAACGGGUGAGUAACACGUGGGUGAUCUGCCCUGCACUUCGGGAUAAGCCUGGGAAACUGGGUCUAAUACCGGAUAGGAGCCAUUUUUAGUGUGAUGGUUGGAAAGUUUUUUCGGUGUAGGAUGAGCUCGCGGCCUAUCAGCUUGUUGGUGGGGUAAUGGCCUACCAAGGCGGCGACGGGUAGCCGGCCUGAGAGGGUGGACGGCCACAUUGGGACUGAGAUACGGCCCAGACGCCGACGGGAGGCAGCAGUGGGGAAGAUUGCACAAUGGGCGCAAGCCGGAUGCAGCGACGCCGCGUGGGGGAUGACGGCCUUCGGGUUGUAAACUCCUUUCGCUAGGGACGAAGCUUUUUGUGACGGUACCUAGAUAAGAAGCACCGGCUAACUACGUG
Molecule: ribosomal RNA, 465 nt
Filed under: uncultured bacterium
Lineage: Bacteria
Description: partial 16S ribosomal RNA
Rfam family: Bacterial small subunit ribosomal RNA
Source: RNAcentral